RNAcentral lists this ribosomal RNA (79 nucleotides) under Pseudomonas sp. CFII68. RNAcentral's name for it is "partial 16S ribosomal RNA". It matches the Rfam family "Bacterial small subunit ribosomal RNA", at positions 1 to 77 of the family's 1533-position model. Lineage: Bacteria; Pseudomonadati; Pseudomonadota; Gammaproteobacteria; Pseudomonadales; Pseudomonadaceae. The record is from RNAcentral.
UUGAACUGAAGAGUUUGAUCAUGGCUCAGAUUGAACGCUGGCGGCAGGCCUAACACAUGCAAGUCGAGCGGUAGAGAGG